AUUGAACGCUGGCGGCAUGCCUUACACAUGCAAGUCGAACGGCAGCACGGGAGCAAUCCUGGUGGCGAGUGGCGAACGGGUGAGUAAUACAUCGGAACGUGCCCAAUCGUGGGGGAUAACGCAGCGAAAGCUGUGCUAAUACCGCAUACGAUCUACGGAUGAAAGCAGGGGAUCGCAAAACCUUGCGCGAAUGGAGCGGCCGAUGGCAGAUUAGGUAGUUGGUGAGGUAAAGGCUCACCAAGCCGUCGAUCUGUAGCUGGUCUGAGAGGACGACCAGCCACACUGGGACUGAGACACGGCCCAGACUCCUACGGGAGGCAGCAGUGGGGAAUUUUGGACAAUGGGCGAAAGCCUGAUCCAGCCAUGCCGCGUGCAGGAUGAAGGCCUUCGGGUUGUAAACUGCUUUUGUACGGAACGAAACGGCCUUUUCUAAUAAAGAGGGCUAAUGACGGUACCGUAAGAAUAAGCACCGGCUAACUACGUGCCAGCAGCCGCGGUAAUACGUAGGGUGCAAGCGUUAAUCGGAAUUACUGGGCGUAAAGCGUGCGCAGGCGGUUAUGUAAGACAGUUGUGAAAUCCCCGGGCUCAACCUGGGAACUGCAUCUGUGACUGCAUAGCUAGAGUACGGUAGAGGGGGAUGGAAUUCCGCGUGUAGCAGUGAAAUGCGUAGAUAUGCGGAGGAACACCGAUGGCGAAGGCAAUCCCCUGGACCUGUACUGACGCUCAUGCACGAAAGCGUGGGGAGCAAACAGG
RNAcentral lists this ribosomal RNA (753 nucleotides) under uncultured Comamonadaceae bacterium. RNAcentral describes it as "bacterial SSU rRNA". It matches the Rfam family "Bacterial small subunit ribosomal RNA", at positions 28 to 776 of the family's 1533-position model. The record is from RNAcentral. Lineage: Bacteria; Pseudomonadati; Pseudomonadota; Betaproteobacteria; Burkholderiales; Comamonadaceae.